RNAcentral lists this ribosomal RNA (301 nucleotides) under uncultured bacterium. RNAcentral's name for it is "partial 16S ribosomal RNA". It matches the Rfam family "Bacterial small subunit ribosomal RNA", at positions 509 to 807 of the family's 1533-position model. The record is from RNAcentral.
CAGUAGCCGCGGUAAUACGAAGGGGGCUAGCGUUGUUCGGAUUUACUGGGCGUAAAGCGCACGUAGGCGGAUCCUUAAGUCAGAGGUGAAAUCCCAAGGCUCAACCUUGGAACUGCCUUUGAUACUGGGGAUCUCGAGUUCGGGAGAGGUGAGUGGAACUGCGAGUGUAGAGGUGAAAUUCGUAGAUAUUCGCAAGAACACCAGUGGCGAAGGCGGCUCACUGGCCCGAUACUGACGCUGAGGUGCGAAAGCGUGGGGAGCAAACAGGAUUAGAUACCCGUGUAGUCCCUGUCUCUUAUAC